ACUCCCACCCGGCGUCCAGUCCCUGGCGCAGGCGCUGUGCGGCUUUGGUGCGGGGCUUGCCUCACCGGUCUCGGUGGCGGUCUCCACCCUAGCUGGGUCCGACCACGAGCUCCAGGGACCUUGGUAGGUGGGGCCGUUGAGCCUGGCGCGCAGCUGUAAACGGUAGCGAGAUCGCGGGCGCAGCUCCAGGGUCCCUCCUCGGGCCCCGAGAGGCGGCUCCAGCACCUGAGCAAAGAAGCGUGCGGUGGCCCGGCGUCGGGGCUUCGAUAGCCCAGCGUCUGUUUGACCCAAAUCCUGCAGCUCCGAAUCCCCAGGCGGUCGGAGAUUCCCACAAAGAGCCCCACCGGCAGAAAACACGCUUCCCGGCAACAGGAUAGAGCGCCCUAACCGAGAGCCUCUCCCUAAAGGGAUCACGCUCUGCCCGAGAGAAACGCGCCAGGCCCACCUCCUGAGACACAGACCUCACCUCAGAGAGCUACGUAUCCUAACACCAACACCCAGAUUGUGGCUCACUCCCAUGACACCAACCUCAAUCAGCAGUUCAGCUCUCACCUGUCUCUGGGGCAGCACCGUGCCCUGCUGUGGUAGAAGAAGCCUUGGGAGCUAGCAUGGUCCUGUUGCUGCCAUUGACAGUUCCUGUCCAAUGGCAAGUUCGAGAUCAUCAGGAAGGACCAUGGUUCCCAGAGCUUCAGAUCCAGCCCAGGCUUCCCUAGAGAUAUUCUUUUAUCUCCUCCCCAUCUCCCUAUUCCUUUGUUGACUCACCUGCAUCUCCAGGCAGGUCCACAGUCACAGGGAGGGACCAGGAUCCCCAGGAGCCACCGAGGGAGAUCCCAUCAGGUUCGCUGCGCAGCUGUAGCCAGUAGGAGUUGCCAGGCUGGAGUCCUGAGAUGAGGCAGCUUCCACCCACUGCUGUCAGAGCUGAAGCCUUGGGAGGAAAAUCCCAGCUUCACAAUCUAGGCCUGCCUGUCAGCUGAGAGAGCCUCCAACCCUUAUAUUUGCACAGCAUCCCUGUGGAGAGGAGCUCAGCUCCUUGCUGGAUAGAUAUGCACACAGACCAGGGGCCAAGUUGGUGUGUUUCAGGUGGUGUUCAGGGUUUUGUUGCGAAAUCUCCAUUAAUUUGGAGGCCUGAAAGCCUUUGCUUUUGUCAGUGGGAAUGACCCAAAGUAGGAAGCCCCUAAGUAGGCGUGGCUCAUAUCUGAGCCUAUACUAACUCUCCAAGGACGAACCUAGGUCUGGAAUCCCCAAAGUAUGGUCUGUCCUUUCCUGGGGCAAGAUUGAAGGUAGGAGAUAAGAGGUGGGGCAGAAGAAGGUCAGCAUACUUCUCUACUUGGGGAGGUCUGCUUUGGUCCAUCUUGCCAGGGCAUUGUGGGCUGAGCACAUGGAGACUGGUCCAGAGCAGAGGCUGAGUGAGGCCUCUGCAGAGCAGGGCAGCAGGUUUCUGUGGCGAUCAGCUGUAUGACGGUGGGACCAGUGGAGUUCUUGGGAUCUCUGGGGCCAUAGCGGAGUUCGUACCUCAGGAAAUCACUGAUUUCUGGAGCUGGCUCCUCCCAGCUGAUCUGAAGUUCCCCUGGCUGGCUCCCACCCAUGGCCUUGAUGAUACUAGGGGGAGCCGGCAGGCCUGAGGGGCAAGACAGGGCACAUCAGAACUCUGAGUACCACAGUCUAUGGCUCAGCCUCUGGACUGCAGAGAGGGGUGCUGGGGGCUGAAUUGGGGCAGCUUCUGGAUUCAAAAAUUGUAGGCUGUCAUUCUCCUGGAGGGCAGGCUAGGGAGGCUCCUGAUUCUGUUCUUCUCUCAUGAGAACAGUGACUUCAUUGCAGUAUGAUGGCUUGCUAGACUCAGUGCUUCUUGUAAGCAGGGAUGCCUUUUUCUCUCCAUAUCCCCAUCACCUAGCCCAGUGUCUGGCACACAGUAGGUAUUCUGUAACUCUUGAAUGGAUGAAUAAAUGAUUUGUUGACGAUGGGAGGACCAGGGUGUGAAAUGAUCUGUGGGGCAUUUCUAGCUCUAGAUGCCAAGGCUGGGAGGAAUGACAAGGGAGUCUUGGGGUGCCUCAGGGGGUCUGGUAAUAGGGGUAUCCGUGCUGAGCUGGAAGGGCACAGGCAAGUCUGAUUCCGGGAGCUGGACUGGGGGCAGCAAGUGGAGGGGGCAGGGUGACAGGAGGAUGGCUCUUACCUACACUGUCCACAAAGAGGACUCGCUGAGUCCGAGUCUGGUUUAGGAACACAUUCUUCACCCAGAGGUGCAGCGGAAAGAAGAGACGCACUUCCUCCUGGUCUGGAAACUGGCACACAUAUCGGGUUCCAAAGUGGGGCACGCUCUGGGAACUCAGGGGGCAAGCACGGGGCUUCUCCCUGUUGGCAUAGAAGAGGUCCCUCCUACACAGCCACCAUGCGGAGCCCUGAGGACCCAGACCUGGGCCCAUGCCCAACUUCUGUCUCUAGUACUGCCAUUUUUCUUCUCACUGCCUGGGAUAGGUGGGAUUAGGGGUUAUGUAGGGCUGGAGCUGGGGCCCACAUACAUCCAAAGCACAUCUGUUCAAAAAGUAGGUACUUAGGGCUUGUAUUCAGAGUGGUCCUCGGACAGGCAGGAAAGCUGCUGGAGUGGGACUCAGCUAAGUGCAGGGACAGAUACAUGGGGAGUGGGGCACAGUCCAGCACCUACCGCGGGUAGGCAUACAGCAGCUGGUAUGUCCCACUGGGCGCUGCCUCUUCCUCAUCCCAGAAGCAAGUGAGGUCCUCAAAUGUUCGGGAGAAACACUUCAGGGGCUCUGAGUCUGAUGCCAGCAAGGAGACAUCUAAGGAACAGCUGAGAUGAGGAAACGGAGAUGCAGAGAAGUUAAAGAUUUGCCCAAGAUUACAUACUAAGACAUAAAGCUCAGGAGGUCAACCUUCAGAACCCACCUGCAUAACAACCAUGCUGUGCUAUGCUCUUGGGAGGCUAAUCUGCUGAGAAAUAACUCUCUGCCCCACAACCAUGCCAAAUGGUGGGUAUUUCCACUUUAAUAGUUCUGUGACUUUGCACAUGAAUAAACACAUUCUCCCGGGAACUGGAAAUGCCCUCUCCAUUAUGGGUGGCCUCCACGGCUGCCUCUAAUCCCUUGCUACUCAAAAUGUGGUCUGUAGGCCAGGAGCAACAGCAUUAGGUGGGCACUUAUUAGAAAUGCAGAAUCUUAGGCCCCGCCCCAGGCCUAUUAAAGUUGAACCUGCAUUUUGCCAAAAUCCCCAGAUGGUUUGAAUGUAACUUAAAGUUGGAGAAGCAAUGGUCUUCAGUACUUUUAUCCUGUUUGCUCAGAUUGGAGAUGGCUCACACUCCUUACCCUGCCCCCUUGUCUUGUAUCCAAUAAAUAACUGCGCAG
Long non-coding RNA from Gorilla gorilla gorilla (western lowland gorilla), 3353 nucleotides. RefSeq lists it as uncharacterized. Lineage: Eukaryota; Metazoa; Chordata; Mammalia; Primates; Hominidae. The transcript is spliced from 4 exons. The record is from RefSeq and is a predicted model, not a curated record.